UGCACAACGUGCCCCGAGUGGAGGAACCGGGUGGCCCGCAGGAGCUGGUAGAAGAUGGAGCGCACGUGGACGUCCUGCAGCAGGCCGCCCUUCCGGAUGACUGCGUUCAGGGUACAUGGUGAGGGAGCAAGCCACUGUGGGCCAGCUGCAGAGGGACACGCAGGGGGACACGCAGAGGGACCCGCAGACGGCGUCAGGACAGAACAGAGGUGGGGCUGGGGCGCUGGCCGGGGCCUCACUCACCCAUAAACUCAAACACCAGGUAAAUGUCCCUGUCGUUCUCUGCCCGGAUCACGUCAGGAGCCAGGUUCCUGGGAGUCAGGAUCGUGUUACCCCAUGAGGAAACUGAGGCACGAAGGGGCUCCAGACCACCUCUCCCGCCUACGGAGGAGGCA
This 395-nucleotide long non-coding RNA is filed under the name Homo sapiens (human). RNAcentral's name for it is "long non-coding RNA NONHSAT217794.1". Lineage: Eukaryota; Metazoa; Chordata; Mammalia; Primates; Hominidae. The record is from RNAcentral.